AAUUCCGUGCCAGCAGCCGCGGUAACACGGAAGCCCCGAGCGUUGUUCGGAUUCAUUGGGCGUAAAGGGUGCGUAGGCGGCGCGGAAAGUCCGGCGUGAAAGGCAGGGGCUCAACCUCUGGACUGCGUUGGAUACUUCCGUGCUUGAGGACUGGAGGGGAGACUGGAAUUCACGGUGUAGCAGUGAAAUGCGUAGAUAUCGUGAGGAAGACCGGUGGCGAAGGCGAGUCUCUGGACAGAUCCUGACGCUGAGGCACGAAGGCUGGGGGAGCGAACAGGAUUAGAUACCCUGGUAGUCCCAGCAGUAAACGAUGUGAGCUUGAUGUGGGGGGAUUCGACCCCUUCCGUGUCGAAGCUAACGCGAUAAGCUCACCGCCUGAGGAGUACGGCCGCAAGGCUAAAACUCAAAGAAAUUGACGGGGACCCGCACAAGCGGUGGAGUAUGUGGCUUAAUUCGAUGCAACGCGAAGAACCUUACCUGGCCUUGACACGCAUUGUGUCGUCGGUGAAAGCCGGCUAGUCCUGGAAACAGGACGCUUUGCACAGGUGCUGCAUGGCUGUCGUCAGCUCGUGUCGUGAGAUGUUGGGUUAAGUCCCGCAACGAGCGCAACCCUUGUGGUCAGUUACUAACCGGCUUAGCCGGAGGACUCUGGCCAGACUGCCCUGUCAAACGGGGAGGAAGGUGGGGACGACGUCAAGUCAGUAUGGCCCUUAUGGCCAGGGCUGCACACGUACUACAAUGCCCGGUACAAUGCGAACCGAAACCGCGAGGUGGAGGAAAUCGCUCUUGAAAACCGGGCCCAGUUCGGAUUGGAGUCUGCAACUCGACUCCAUGAAGUCGGAAUCGCUAGUAAUGGCGUAUCAGCAACGACGCCGUGAAUACGUUCCCGGGUCUUGUACACACCGCCCGUCACAUCAUGGAAGUCUCCUGUACCCGAAGCACGUG
Molecule: ribosomal RNA, 945 nt
Filed under: uncultured organism
Description: bacterial SSU rRNA
Rfam family: Bacterial small subunit ribosomal RNA
Source: RNAcentral